Molecule: ribosomal RNA, 433 nt
Filed under: uncultured bacterium
Lineage: Bacteria
Description: partial 16S ribosomal RNA
Rfam family: Bacterial small subunit ribosomal RNA
Source: RNAcentral
AACGAACGCUGGCGGCAUGCCUAACACAUGCAAGUCGAACGAGACCUUCGGGUCUAGUGGCGCACGGGUGCGUAACGCGUGGGAACCUGCCCUUAGGUUCGGAAUAACUCCCCGAAAGGGGUGCUAAUACCGGAUAAUGUCUUCGGACCAAAGAUUUAUCGCCUUUGGAUGGGCCCGCGUUGGAUUAGCUAGUUGGUAGGGUAAAAGCCUACCAAGGCGACGAUCCAUAGCUGGUAUGAGAGGAUGAUCAGCCACACUGGGACUGAGACACGGCACAGACUGCUACGGGAGGCAGCAGUGGGGAAUAUUGGAAAAUGGGCGAAAGCCUGAUCCAGCAAUGCCGCGUGAGUGAUGAAGGCCUUAGGGUUGUAAAGCUCUUUUACCCGGGAUGAUAAUGACAGUACCGGGAGAAUAAGCACCGGCUAACUCCGUG